RNAcentral lists this ribosomal RNA (332 nucleotides) under uncultured eukaryote. RNAcentral describes it as "partial 18S ribosomal RNA". It matches the Rfam family "Eukaryotic small subunit ribosomal RNA", at positions 592 to 976 of the family's 1831-position model. The record is from RNAcentral.
CAAUAGCGUAUAUUAAAGUUGUUGCAGUUAAAAAGCUCGUAGUUGAAUUUCGGGUCCCCGCGCUCGGCGCUUCAUUGUGCCGUCGUGGUGUCCCUCCUCGCCGUAAGGCGUCCUUUACUGUGAAAAAAUUAGAGUGUUCAAAGCAGGCAAUCGCUUGAAUACAUUAGCAUGGAAUAAUAAGAUAGGAUCUUGUCUAUUUUGUUGGUUGCGGACAACGAUAAUGAUUAAUAGGGAUAGUUGGGGGUGUCCGUAUUGAGCUGUCAGAGGUGAAAUUCUUGGAUUUAUGAAAGACGAACUUCUGCGAAAGCAUUUGCCAAGGAUGUUUUCAUUAA